AGAUAGAAGAAAGCCUACUUUGCUGGAUUUCUCUAAAAUGAGAAUUGUCUGUUCUUUUAGUACCAUUAACAGAAGACAACUCAUCGGAAAAAGUCUGACACUUUUCAGGUUAACUUAAUGUGGACUGUUCUUAGAGAAAAUAAUAGGAAUGAUGGAAAAGCAUCUCAGAACUUCACAAAAGAAGAUGUGAAGGUCAGCUGUGGUUCCAGAUUUUUAACGAUCGUUGUUUUCUUCCCUGAAUGUUAAGAAAUGCCCAAUCGUACUUCAGCAACUAGCAACUGUAGCUAAAGGAAUUGGAACAUAGAGAAUAUACUGCCAGGGACAAAAGGAAGAAAACAGCCCAGGGUGAUGGUGCAUGAAAGCCAGAUGGAUAUCCAAUCUACCACCUGUUGUUAAGAAGACUGCCCUCUCUCUGGUUGCUCUGGAGUGCAACCUUUGCUGAAACUCAGUUGUCCAUAUUACGCCUAGCUCUAGAUGCUCUUAUUGUCUAUUUUUUUAAUUGAGAUAAAACUAACUUAUAACACUAUUAGUUGUAGGUGUGCAACAUAAUGAUUUGCUAUAUGUUGAUACAGGAUAUAUUUCAAAAUGAUUAUCGUAGUAAUUUAACAUCCAUCACCACAUAUAGCUAUAAAAUUUUUUUUCUUGUGAUUGGAACUUUUAAGAUACACCCUCUUACGAAAUUUCAAAUGUACAGAACAGUAUUGUUAACUAUAUUUAUUACCCUCCAUACUACAUCCCAGGACUGUUUGUCUAUUAUUAAGCCUUACUUUAAUUACUUUAGAUCUAUAUCUUGCUAUGUUUUGGUACAAAACUAUCCACUGUUCUUACUUUUGAUUAUUCUUGGUUUUAGGAAUUUUUGUAUGAAUUUAAAAGCAACUUGUCACUCUCCAGAAAAUUCUGCUAGUAUUUUCAAUGGGAUUGAAUGAAUUUGUAGAGCAAUUUAGAGAGAACUAACAUAUUUUCAUUAACAAAUCUUCCAAUUCAUGAAAUUGUUUCAGCCUUCCUUUGGGAAGCCUUCCUUUUAUGUGUCUCAAUAACACUUCCUGGUUUUCUGCCUUAUGUUCUUGCAUAUCUUUGUUAUGUUUAUUCUUAAAUAUUGUGAUUUUAUGGUUUUGUAGAAGAUAUUUUACUUAAAAGUGCAUUUCCUAAUUCUUGUAGCUGGUAUGUAGAAAUACAGGUUUUUAUAUUAAAUUUUUAUCUAGUAAUCUUGCUAGACUGUUUCAUUAGUCUAAUAAUGUAUCUGUAGAUACGUUUAGAUUUUCUUCUUCAGUCUUAGUAUAACCUAUACAUUAUGAUAGUUUUAUUUCUUUCUCUCAAAUCAUUACAUUGCUUAUUUUCCUUACCUUUGAUCGUUGUCUAGGACUUCCAGUACAAAGUUGCAUAAAGACAUGAUAAGAGUUUCCAUAUUUUGUUUUUGUUGUCAGAGACAAACCUUUCAACAUGUCACCAAUAUCUGUGAUGAUUGUUCUUAUGUUUGUUUUACUGAAUACUCUUUAUCAUAUUAAAAAAUAGCCUUCUGUAACUACUUGCUAAAGAACUUUUUUAUUGUGAGUGGAUAGUGACUUUUAUUAAGUAUUUUUUAAAUUUGCAUCACUUGAGAGGACUACUUUGUGUUCAUGUAAUAAUUGCACUGAUAUUCAAAUCCUGAAACCAAUCUUGUAUCCUAAAUAAAUUCAAUCUGCUCGUAUAUUUUGGUUAAUAUUCUUUUUAGGAGUUUUAAAAACCUAGGAUCGUAAAUGAGGCCUGCCUGUAUUUUUCUAAUUUCAUACUAUCUUCAACAGUAUUUGAUAUCAAUGUCACUAUUUGAUAUCCUAAAACAAUGCAGAUGGUUAUCUUUCUUUUUCUCUCACUUGGAAGAUAUUGUAUAUGAUUAGAAUUAUUUCUUCCUUAAAUGUUUUUCAGAAUUCAUUAGUGAAGCCAUUAAGUUCUGGGGUUUCAUUUUCUAAGAAAAAAAAAUUAUGUUUUAUUUAGAUUAAAAUUAUUAUUCAGGUUACCCUUUUUUGUUGUUUUCUGGUUGUUAGCUCACCAAUUUUUUUUUCCCACCAAUAUGGAAUUUUUCUAUUUCCAUCUAAAUGUUCAAGUUUAUUAUCAUAAAAUUAUUAUCUUGUUAAUGUCUGUAGGAUAGUGACCUUCCCUUUUUUAUUCUUGUUAUUAUAUGACUUCUCUUUUUUGCUAAGUCCCUUAAAGCGUUUGUCAAUUUUAUCAGUUUGUUCAAAACAUGGACUUUCAAUUGGAUAUUUGUUUUAUAGUUUAUCAGUUUUGUUCUUUAUUAUUCCCUUCCCUCAAUGUUCUUUGAUGUUAAUUUCUUGGUCAUUUAAACACUUCUUAGGAUGAGUGCUUAGCUCACUUAUUUGUAUUCUUCUUUUACUUAUAAUGCAUGCAUUUAAAGCCAUAGAUUUCCUAUAAACAGAGCUUUAGCUGCAUCUCACAAAAUUUUAUUAUCAUUUAGUAUUUUCAUUAUGUUUGACCCAAAGUAGGUCCUCAUUAUUAUUGAGAU
Felis catus (domestic cat) is the source of this 2497-nucleotide long non-coding RNA. RefSeq lists it as uncharacterized. The transcript has 5 exons. The record is from RefSeq and is a predicted model, not a curated record. Lineage: Eukaryota; Metazoa; Chordata; Mammalia; Carnivora; Felidae.